Long non-coding RNA from Vombatus ursinus (common wombat), 461 nucleotides. NCBI's taxonomy places the organism in Eukaryota, Metazoa, Chordata, Mammalia, Diprotodontia, Vombatidae. The record is from Ensembl.
CGAGGAAAUGGUGUCUGGAGGUCAGGUCUCUGGAGCAGCAGAAAACCAAAGAGAUGACUGGAAAGAAAUGUAACACCCCAAAGAAGAAGGGAGUAAUGGAGAGUUACCAGCUUGGAGUUCUGACUCAGUCUUUCUCCUCCAGCCAGCACAACCUUACCAGAAGAUGGUGUGACCACAGCAGUCUCCAGUGACGGGCAUUCUUAUGGUUCUGAUGAUGCAUCGACGUCGCUGCCCCCAAGAACUGUAAGACCCCACCACACCCCAACAUACGAUGAUGAUAAAUCCACUCCAGAGCCCACAGUCCACAGCAGAGAGAACUCCACGGACUCCAGGGUUAUAACUGACCAUCCUAGCGAGAAAGUGGGUGGAGAGACAGAGACAGCAACUGAGAAAGGUAGGCUAGAAUGAGUUACCCAAAGACAUCCACUUCUUGUCAUCAACUGCAUUCCUAAGCUUUAGAA